This 1491-nucleotide ribosomal RNA is filed under the name uncultured bacterium. Its description in RNAcentral is "bacterial SSU rRNA". It matches the Rfam family "Bacterial small subunit ribosomal RNA". The record is from RNAcentral.
UAGAGUUUGAUCCUGGCUCAGGAUGAACGCUAGCUACAGGCUUAACACAUGCAAGUCGAGGGGCAGCAUGGUCUUAGCUUGCUAAGGCCGAUGGCGACCGGCGCACGGGUGAGUAACACGUAUCCAACCUGCCGUCUACUCUUGGACAGCCUUCUGAAAGGAAGAUUAAUACAAGAUGGCAUCAUGAGUCCGCAUGUUCACAUGAUUAAAGGUAUUCCGGUAGACGAUGGGGAUGCGUUCCAUUAGAUAGUAGGCGGGGUAACGGCCCACCUAGUCUUCGAUGGAUAGGGGUUCUGAGAGGAAGGUCCCCCACAUUGGAACUGAGACACGGUCCAAACUCCUACGGGAGGCAGCAGUGAGGAAUAUUGGUCAAUGGGCGAGAGCCUGAACCAGCCAAGUAGCGUGAAGGAUGACUGCCCUAUGGGUUGUAAACUUCUUUUAUAAAGGAAUAAAGUCGGGUAUGGAUACCCGUUUGCAUGUACUUUAUGAAUAAGGAUCGGCUAACUCCGUGCCAGCAGCCGCGGUAAUACGGAGGAUCCGAGCGUUAUCCGGAUUUAUUGGGUUUAAAGGGAGCGUAGAUGGAUGUUUAAGUCAGUUGUGAAAGUUUGCGGCUCAACCGUAAAAUUGCAGUUGAUACUGGAUAUCUUGAGUGCAGUUGAGGCAGGCGGAAUUCGUGGUGUAGCGGUGAAAUGCUUAGAUAUCACGAAGAACUCCGAUUGCGAAGGCAGCCUGCUAAGCUGCAACUGACAUUGAGGCUCGAAAGUGUGGGUAUCAAACAGGAUUAGAUACCCUGGUAGUCCACACGGUAAACGAUGAAUACUCGCUGUUUGCGAUAUACGGCAAGCGGCCAAGCGAAAGCGUUAAGUAUUCCACCUGGGGAGUACGCCGGCAACGGUGAAACUCAAAGGAAUUGACGGGGGCCCGCACAAGCGGAGGAACAUGUGGUUUAAUUCGAUGAUACGCGAGGAACCUUACCCGGGCUUAAAUUGCAGAUGAAUUACGGUGAAAGCCGUAAGCCGCAAGGCAUCUGUGAAGGUGCUGCAUGGUUGUCGUCAGCUCGUGCCGUGAGGUGUCGGCUUAAGUGCCAUAACGAGCGCAACCCUUGUUGUCAGUUACUAACAGGUCAUGCUGAGGACUCUGACAAGACUGCCAUCGUAAGAUGUGAGGAAGGUGGGGAUGACGUCAAAUCAGCACGGCCCUUACGUCCGGGGCUACACACGUGUUACAAUGGGGGGUACAGAGGGCCGCUACCACGCGAGUGGAUGCCAAUCCCAAAAACCUCUCUCAGUUCGGACUGGAGUCUGCAACCCGACUCCACGAAGCUGGAUUCGCUAGUAAUCGCGCAUCAGCCACGGCGCGGUGAAUACGUUCCCGGGCCUUGUACACACCGCCCGUCAAGCCAUGGGAGCCGGGGGUACCUGAAGUGCGUAACCGCGAGGAGCGCCCUAGGGUAAAACUGGUGACUGGGGCUAAGUCGUAACAAGGUAGCCG